GAUGAAGAACGCAGCGAAAUGCGAUAAGUAAUGCGAAUUGCAGAAUUCCAGUGAGUCAUCGAAUCUUUGAACGCACAUUGCGCCCUCUGGUAUUCCGGGGGGCAUGCCUGUCCGAGCGUCAUUGCAACCCUCAAGCUCGGCUUGUGUGUUAGGCUUCGUCCCCCGUGGACGGGCCCGAAAGGCAGUGGCGGUGCCGCGGUCCGGUGCCCGAGCGUAUGGGGCUUUGUCACCCGCUCUAGAGGCCCGGCCGGUGCCAGCCGAUCGUUAAAUCGUUUCUUCAAGGUUGACCUCGGAUCAGGUAGGGAUACCCGCUGAACUUAAGCAUAUCAAUAAGCGGAGGA
Molecule: unclassified non-coding RNA, 341 nt
Filed under: soil metagenome
Description: partial contains 5.8S ribosomal RNA, internal transcribed spacer 2, and large subunit ribosomal RNA
Rfam family: 5.8S ribosomal RNA (bases 1-121)
Source: RNAcentral